RNAcentral lists this ribosomal RNA (422 nucleotides) under Hoylesella oralis. RNAcentral's name for it is "bacterial SSU rRNA". It matches the Rfam family "Bacterial small subunit ribosomal RNA", at positions 28 to 431 of the family's 1533-position model. Lineage: Bacteria; Pseudomonadati; Bacteroidota; Bacteroidia; Bacteroidales; Prevotellaceae. The record is from RNAcentral.
GAUGAACGCUAGCUACAGGCUUAACACAUGCAAGUCGCGGGGCAUCAUGGAGGUUGCUUGCAAUUUCUGAUGGCGACCGGCGCACGGGUGAGUAACGCGUAUCCAACCUUCCCAUUACUACGGCAUACCCCGUUGAAAGGCGGCCUAAUUCCGUAUGCAGUCCGAAGCAGUCAUCUAAUUUGGACGAAAGGUAUAUUCUAUCGGUAAUGGAUGGGGAUGCGUCCGAUUAGCCAGCCGGCGGGGUAACGGCCCACCGGGGCAUUGAUCGGUAGGGGUUCUGAGAGGAAGGUCCCCCACACUGGAACUGAGACACGGUCCAGACUCCUACGGGAGGCAGCAGUGAGGAAUAUUGGUCAAUGGGCGUAAGCCUGAAACCAGCCAAAGUAGCGUGCAGGAUGACGGGCCCCUAUGGGUUGUAAAAC